This 253-nucleotide ribosomal RNA is filed under the name uncultured bacterium. RNAcentral's name for it is "partial 16S ribosomal RNA". It matches the Rfam family "Bacterial small subunit ribosomal RNA", at positions 524 to 776 of the family's 1533-position model. The record is from RNAcentral.
UACAGAGGUGGCAAGCGUUGUUCGGAAUUACUGGGCGUAAAGGGCGCGUAGGCGGUCUUCUAAGUCUUGUGUGAAAUCCCUCGGCUCAACUGAGGAACUGCACGGGAUACUGGAAGACUUGAGUUCGGGAGAGGGAAGCGGAAUUCCGGGUGUAGCGGUGAAAUGCGCAGAUAUCAGGAGGAACACCCAUUGCGAAGGCAGCUCGCUGGGACGUUACUGACGCUGAGGUGCGAAAGCUAGGGGAGCAAACGGG